RNAcentral lists this ribosomal RNA (406 nucleotides) under uncultured bacterium. Its description in RNAcentral is "partial 16S ribosomal RNA". It matches the Rfam family "Bacterial small subunit ribosomal RNA", at positions 30 to 526 of the family's 1533-position model. The record is from RNAcentral.
AUUGAACGCUGGCGGCAGGCCUAACACAUGCAAGUCGAGCGAGAGGCGGACGGGUGAGUAAUGUAUGGGGAAAUGCCUGAUGGUGGGGGAUAACCACUGUAAACGGUAGCUAAUACCGCAUACCAUCAGAUGAACCAAUAUGGGUUUAGCUAGUAGGUAAGGUAGUGGCCUACGUAGGCGACGUUCCCUAGCUGGUCUGCGAGGAUGAACAGCCACACGGGCACUGAGACACGGCCCAGAAUCCUACGGGAGGCAGCAGUGGUGAAUAUUGCGUAAUGGGCGGAAGCCUGAUGCAGCCAUGCCGCGUGUAUGAAGAAGGCCUUCGGGUUGUAAAGUACUUUCAGUCGGGAGGCGUUACCGACAGAAGAAGCACCGGCUAACUCCGUGCCAGCAGCCGCGGUAAUAC